Molecule: ribosomal RNA, 354 nt
Filed under: Nematops sp. PNG793
Lineage: Eukaryota; Metazoa; Chordata; Actinopteri; Pleuronectiformes; Pleuronectidae
Description: partial 12S ribosomal RNA
Rfam family: Bacterial small subunit ribosomal RNA (bases 37-354)
Source: RNAcentral
AAACAUAGAAACCCCACCCACACCAUAAAUCCGCCCGGGAAUUACAGACAUUAGUUUAAAACCCAAAGGACUUGGCGGUGCUUAAUACCCCCCUAGAGGAGCCUGUUCUAGAAUUGAUAACCCCCGUUAAACCUCACCCUCUCUUGUUUAACCCGCCUAUAUACCACCGUCGUCAGCUUACCCUGUGAAGGCCUAAUAGUAAACAAAAUUGGCAUACCCCAAAACGUCAGGUCGAGGUGUAGUGUAUGAGAGGGGAAGAAAUGGGCUACAUUUACUAAUAUUAGUAAAUACGAAUGACACAUUGAAAUAUGUGACUGAAGGAGGAUUUAGUAGUAAGCAAAAAAUAGAGUGUCU